CCGGUUGCCGAAUGGGACCGGCAGAACCCAGGGAGCGCCAAGCUCUUUGGCGUCCCUCGUACUAUGUUGCUCCAUAGAGGAUGUAGCUAUGAGAA
Molecule: non-coding RNA, 95 nt
Organism: Mesorhizobium sp. L48C026A00
Lineage: Bacteria; Pseudomonadati; Pseudomonadota; Alphaproteobacteria; Hyphomicrobiales; Phyllobacteriaceae
Source: Rfam